Molecule: non-coding RNA, 28 nt
Filed under: Bombyx mori (domestic silkworm)
Lineage: Eukaryota; Metazoa; Arthropoda; Insecta; Lepidoptera; Bombycidae
Source: RNAcentral
UUAGUCGGACACUCUUGUCAGAGUGGUC